AUCAUACUCCCUCUGAUCAGAAUUACUUGUCUUGGAAAUGGAUGUAUCUAGAACUAAAAUACGUCUAGAUACAUCCAUUUCUACGACAAGUAAUUCCGAACGGAGGAAGUACUUU
Molecule: non-coding RNA, 115 nt
Organism: Triticum aestivum (bread wheat)
Lineage: Eukaryota; Viridiplantae; Streptophyta; Magnoliopsida; Poales; Poaceae
Source: Rfam